Molecule: RNA transcript, 1501 nt
Organism: Elephantulus edwardii (Cape elephant shrew)
Lineage: Eukaryota; Metazoa; Chordata; Mammalia; Macroscelidea; Macroscelididae
Gene name: serine/threonine-protein kinase PLK2-like
Exons: 2
Source: RefSeq, a predicted model, not a curated record
AUGGAGCUCUUGAGGACUAUCACCUACCAGCCGGCUGCCAGCACCAAGAUGGGCGAGCAAGCACUGGGCAAGGCUUGCAGCGGGCACUCGAAGAAGGAGCAACAGCAGCAGUACCCGGAGGAGCCGCAGACCCUGCAGCCCGCACCUCAGGUGCAGCCAGUGGCUCCAGACCACCAUGACCACCACUCCCACUCUGGGACGGAGAUCUCACGGAUUAUCGUUGAUCCCACGACGGGAAAGCGCUACUGCCUGGGCAAAAUGCUGGGCAAGGGUGGCUUUGCAAAAUGUUAUAAGAUGACAGAUAUGACAAAUAACAAAGUCUGUGCUGCAAAAAUCAUUCCUCACAGCAGAGUAGCUAAACCUGAUCAAAGGGAAAUGAUUGACAAAGAAAUAGAGCUUCACCGAAUUCUCAACCAUAAGCAUGUGGUGCAGUUUUAUCACUACUUUGAGGAUGAAGAAAACAUUUACAUCCUCCUGGAGUACUGCAGCAGAAGGUCCAUGGCACAUAUCUUGAAAGCUAGAAAGGUGUUGACGGAGCCAGAAGUUCGAUACUACCUCAGGCAGAUUGUGUCUGGACUCAAGUACCUACAUGAACAAGAAAUCUUGCACCGAGAUCUCAAACCAGGAAACUUUUUACAUGACUUGAAAAAGACUUCCAUAACUAAACAGCCCAGCAAACAUAGGACAGAGGAGGAGCUGCAGCCACCCGCCACCACAGUGGACAGAUCUGGAACAACCGCAGUGUAAAACAAGCAGCAGAUCGGGGACACUAUCCGCAUGAUAGUAAGAGGGACUCUUGGCAGCUGCAGCAGUAGCAGUGAAUGAAUGCCUUGAGGACAGCACCAUGGGCAGUGUUGGGGACACAGUGGCCACGGUCCUUCGAGGAUGUCUGGAGAACAUGCCAGAAGCCGACAGCAUCCCCAAAGAGCAGCUGAGCACAUCAUUCCAAUGGGUCACCAAAUGGGUCGAUUACUCUAACAAGUACGGGUUUGGGUACCAGCUCUCGGACCACACCGUUGGCGUCCUUUUCAACAACAGUGCUCACAUGAGUCUCCUGCCUGACAAAAAACCCGUUCACUAUUACGCGGAGCUCAGCCAGUGCUCGGUUUUCCCAGCAACAGAUGCCCCUGAACAAUUCAUUAGCCAAGUGACGGUGCUGAAAUACUUCUCUCAUUACAUGGAGGAGAACCUCAUGGAUGGUGGAGAUCUCCCCAGUGUCACUAACAUCCGAAGACCUCGGCUCUACCACCUCCAGUGGCUCACGUCUGACAAGGUCUUAAUGCUGCUCUUCAAUGAUGGCACCUUUAAGGUACUUUUCUAUCAGGAUCACACAAAAAUCAUCAUCUGUAUCCAAAAUGAAGAAUACCUGCUCAACUACAUCAAUGAAGACAGUAUAUCUACGACGUUCAGGCUGACGACUCUGCUGAUGUCUGGCUGUUCAGCCGAAUUGAAAAAGCGUAUGGAAUAUGCCCUCAACAUGCUCUUACAGAGAUGUCAUUAA